Molecule: non-coding RNA, 107 nt
Organism: Acanthosepion pharaonis
Lineage: Eukaryota; Metazoa; Mollusca; Cephalopoda; Sepiida; Sepiidae
Source: the annotation of a GenBank genome assembly
CCAUAUCACGCUGAAACACCGGUCCCCGUACGGUCACCGAAGUUAAGCAGCAUCAAACCUGGUCAGUACCUAGAUGGGUGAUCGCUUGAGAACACCAGGAGCUGUAA